AACGAACGCUGGCGGCAUGCCUAACACAUGCAAGUCGAACGGGAUCCUAGCUUGCUAGGUGAGAGUGGCGGACGGGUGAGUAACACGUGGGAAUCUGCCUUUUGGUUCGGGAUAACCGCGGGAAACUGCGGCUAAUACCGAAUGCCCUCGAGAGAGGAAAGAUUUAUCGCCAGAAGAGGAGCCCGCGUCCGAUUAGGUAGUUGGUGGGUAAAGGCCUACCAAGCCGACGAUCGGUAGCUGGUCUGAGAGGAUGAUCAGCCACACUGGGACUGAGAUACGGCCCAGACUCCUACGGGAGGCAGCAGUGGGGAAUAUUGGACAAUGGGGGCAACCCUGAUCCAGCAAUGCCGCGUGAGUGAUGAAGGCCUUAGGGUUGUAAAGCUCUUUUGGCGGGGACGAUGAUGACGGUACCCGCAGAAUAAGCCCCGGCUAACUUCGUGCCAGCAGCCGCGGUAAU
RNAcentral lists this ribosomal RNA (457 nucleotides) under uncultured bacterium. RNAcentral describes it as "bacterial SSU rRNA". It matches the Rfam family "Bacterial small subunit ribosomal RNA", at positions 29 to 524 of the family's 1533-position model. The record is from RNAcentral.